This is a long non-coding RNA of Sarcophilus harrisii (Tasmanian devil), 413 nucleotides long. RefSeq lists it as uncharacterized. NCBI's taxonomy places the organism in Eukaryota, Metazoa, Chordata, Mammalia, Dasyuromorphia, Dasyuridae. The record is from RefSeq and is a predicted model, not a curated record. The transcript has 4 exons.
UCUAACACUCCCCCAACAUGUCUACCUCAGAAAAGAGGGGGGUACAUAAGACAGGAAAAUAUAAUUAAUCCCCUGCCUACACUCUCUGCAUCAAUAAGAAUUUGCUUAUCUUUGAUAUCAUUCAGAAAUUAUCACAGGAAAAGACCAUUUAUACCAUCUACUCCCGUGAUCCUUAAAUGCUUAUGUUUGUUUAGCAGAGACCAGCCUUCUUCAUGACUAAUAAGAACACCUACAUCUCAGUUUUAUGGAGAGCAAAAGACGGAAUGGAAGAAGAUAGUGCUUUAUUAAAUGAUUUCAACCCUGUGCAUAAUUCCAGCAUGGAUACUCCCUCCAUUGAUGCAGAUCUACAAUUUAAGAGUCUAAGAGGUUUUUCUGAAGUCAAUAUGAUGCUGAUUGAUUUCUCCAUAAUCAUA